Passer domesticus (house sparrow) is the source of this 6180-nucleotide RNA transcript. It is a transcript of the gene named cingulin like 1, with no coding region annotated. Lineage: Eukaryota; Metazoa; Chordata; Aves; Passeriformes; Passeridae. The record is from RefSeq and is a predicted model, not a curated record. The transcript has 19 exons.
UCCCCGGCCCGGCCGCGGCGCCCCCACCCCCGCUGGAGGGGGCGGGCAGUGCGCGCUCGGCUGCGGCUGGCGGGGCGGCGGAGAGAGCGGCGCGGAGUUGGCGGGGAUCCCCCUGCGACACACAGGCGGCUCGGGACGGAUAUAAUCCACUGAUAGACAUGGAGCCAUAUUUUGCUGGUUUUAAGCACAUGCGGCAGGACUAUGAAGUCACUCUUGAACUUGCAAGUGAAGAGACUCAAAAAACUAAAAAUGUGCAAAAUUCUAGGACGGGGUCUUACGGUGUCAGCAUUAGAGUCCAAGGAAUUGAUGGACAUCCUUACAUAGUACUGAACAAUACAGAAGGAUGUUUGCCAGAAAAUCCUCCUGCUCCUGGAAAAGAGCAGCAGGUCGUUCCUCACACUGUAAACAAGGCAGCCAUGGACUCCAAUACUGCUUUUAAGUUGGAGGACAAAAUCAGUGAACAUACAAAAUCUGCUGGAACACAGCACGUGCAACCCUCUGUGCCUAAAAAACUGCAGAUAACCAAUGUCAAUGAAAAGGAAAGUGGAAUGCCAGAUUUUAAAGAUGAAACUAUGAAAUCCUCAAAUUUGUUGAAUUUUCAAAGACAUCCUGAACUUUUGCAGCCUUAUGAUCCUGAAAAAAAUAACUUGAACUUGGAUGAUUACCAGUCUUCUGUAUGCAGUAAGUCUAAGUCUUUUGCAGAUGAAAAAACUGAAGCACAGCCUUGGAUUUCCUCAUCUAAGGUAGUGUCCCUACAGAAAACAAAUACGUACUUUGCAGAGUCAACCAAAGCAAAUUCAAAGAAAAUACAUCUGAACAGGUCAGUAGAAGAUCUAAAUAAGCAGCUGCAGGAGUGUCCCAGUAGCAUGAUUGGCCCCGGUGACGCGUGUGCUUCAGAGUCGUUUUCACCUGCAGGAGAAUCCCCCUGUGUUAGUCCCACUGCUUAUCCCGAGACAAAGAAACCCAGGCCAGAUGUUCUUCCCUUCCGCAGGCAAGAUUCCACUGGGCCAGUACUGAAUGACUCCCGAAGAUCCUCCUCCUCAUCAGCUACUCCCACUUCUGCCAAUUCCUUGUACAGAUUUUUACUGGAUGACCAGGAGUACGCCAUCUACGCGGACAAUGUUAACCGCCAUGAAAACAGGAGAUACAUUCCAUUCUUGCCAGGAACUGGUCGUGAUAUUGACACUGGUUCACUUCCAGGGGUAGAUCAGCUAAUUGAAAAGUUUGAUAAGAAAGUUGAUGCUCACAGAAGAGGCAGGUCAGGAAAAAGGAACAGAAUCCAUCCAGAUGAUCGUAAAAGAUCAAGAAGUGUUGAUAGUGCAUUGUCAUUAGGACUUGAUGUAAAUUCAGGUUAUUUAGGUGAAUUCAGUAAAAGCUUGGGUAAGUCAACUGAACACUUGCUGAGACCAUCUAAAGUUUGCCUUCACAAGCAGUUAUCCAGAGAUGAAAAGUCACCUUCCAAAGAGACAAAGAUUCCUGCUCGAAGUAUUGGAAAACUGCAAAUGCCCAAUAAAGACACUCAGAGCAGCAGUUUCAGCACUUUGCAACACCAUAAACAGAAUGGAACAGAUAGAGAGAGCUUGAUGGGUAGAUCAGCUACACUCCCAGGACAGAGUAAGAGAGAGGAAGUUAAAACAGUAACUUCUACUUUGUUGUUGCCAAACCGAAUUACAAUUACACCUGAAUCAGGAGCCAAGAAGAUUUCUGUAAAAACAUGUUCAUCUGUCCCUAAUAUACAGGCAACUCCUGAUCUCCUAAAGGGCCAGCAAGAUCUUGCACAGCAAACAAAUGAAGAGACUGCUAAGCAGAUUCUUUAUAAUUACCUUAAGGAAGGAAGUCCUGAUAAUGAUGAUGCAACAAAGAGGAAAGUGAACUUGGUUUUUGAGAAAAUUCAGACUUUAAAGUCGAGAGCUGCUGGAAAGACACAGGUUUCGGAUUCUUCGGCUGAAGUGAAAGCAUUGGUGGAACAAAAAGCAGAACUUGAAAGGAAAGUGGAAGAGUUAGAGAAAAAACUGGAUCUGGAAGUUAGGAAUCAGCAAAAUUCCAGAGAAGAGAGAGAUGCUACACGAGCGAGUCUGAAAGAUCUUCAGUUGCAGCUUGAUCAAAGUAUAUGUGAAAAGGAAGCCUUAAAAAAGCAGCUGGAAGAAAACGAGAAGGAACUCAGGCAAAACCUGGAGGAGCUCUUUCAAGUGAAGAUGGAACAGGAAAAACACCAGACUGAGAUCAGAGAUCUUCAAGACCAGCUCUCUGAGAUGCAUGAUGAACUGGAUAAUGCAAAACACACUGAUGAAGGGGAGAAAGAGAUUCUGAUUGAGGAGCUGAUGCAAAUGAAGCAGAAUCUGCAAGAAGUAUUGAUAGCAAAAGAUCAACAAGAAGAGAUUUUGAGAAAGAGAGAGAGAGAGCUCACAGCUUUGAAAGGAGCACUUAAAGAAGAGGUAUCCAGCCAUGAUGCAGAGAUGGACAAACUUAAAGAGCAACAUGAAAAAGAAUUGCUGGAUCUGCGACAGAGCCUGGAGAGAGCAACAGAGAGUGCUGCUGUCCUUGCAAGUGAAAAAAAUGCUGCACAAGAGGAGCGAAACAGUGUAGAAAAUCAAGUCAAAGAGUUGAUUGAGGAAAAUAAACAAUUGAAGAGAACACUUACUGAGCUAGAGAGGAAAAUUGAGGAGCUGCACAAACAAAUUGAUAAUAUGAAAGGAGAAGAAAAUUCAGUGAAGGAAAAAUUAAAGACAUAUGAGGAAGAGAAGCAACAAUUAGAAGAAGCUUUGAAACAUGCUGAGAAGGAGGGAAAAGAAUUGUUAGUGUUAAAAGCUGCUUUGGAAAGCCAGCUGGAAGAUAUGCAGGAGAAGAUCCGUUGCAUUUCCCAGGAACGACAGCAGUUAAGUCAGCAAUUAAAAGAUGAAACUCAGCAGAAGGAACAGUUAAAGCAGAUAAAGAAUGAAAUGGAGAAUGAACGAUUGCAACUGAGUGAGACUGUUGAGAAGUUACAGGAGGAGAUGUCUGAAAUGGUGGAGAUCUCAAGAACAUCAACUCUGGAACUUCAGAGCCAGCUUGAUGAAUACAAGGAGAAAAAUCGCAGGGAAUUUGUAGAUCUGCAGAGGCAAUUAAAGGAGAAAAACAUUGAGGUAGAAAAAUCACGCUUGAUGAACAUAAGAAUGCAAGAUGAGAUGCGUCUGAUGGAAGAAAACCUGAAGGACCACCAGAGAGCCCAGGAUGAGGCAAUAACAAAAACUCAGUUACUGGAACAGACUGUGAAAAGCUUGGAGUAUGAACUGGAAGCCAAAAACCACUUAAAAGAUGAUCGGGCAAGACAAAUCAAACUAAUGGAGGACAAGUUGUCUCACCUGGAACUUGAGCUUGAUGAAGAAAAGAAUAAUUCGGAUUUGUUGUCUGAGAGGAUCAGCAGGUGCAGAGAACAGAUUGAACAAAUGAGGACAGAGCUACUUCAGGAAAGAGCUAUAAAGCAAGACUUGGAGUGUGACAAAAUUUCCUUGGAAAGACAGAACAAGGACCUGAAGAGCCGAAUCCUUCACCUGGAGGGUUCUUACCGAUCCAGUAAGGAGGGACUUGUUGCUCAGAUGGAGGCAAGGAUCACAGAGCUGGAAGAACGACUUGCAAAUGAAGAGAGGGAUAGAAUCAAUUUCCAACUAAGUAACCGCAGACUCGAGAGAAAAGUGAAGGAGUUAAUGUUGCAAGUAGAUGAUGAACAUCUGUCAUUGACUGAUCAGAAGGACCAGAUGCUGGAAGAAUAAAAUUCCUUUGUUAAAAUAGUCCUCUAAUCAGGUGACAUGUAAAUAUUGCAGUUGAGUUUGCGUUUGAAAGCAAUGAAACGUCAAGUUGAAGAAGCUGAAGAAGAAAUAGACAGACUGGAAAAUGCUAAAAAGAAACUCCAGAGAGAACUUGAAGAGCAACUAGACAUAAAUGAACAAUUGCAAGGACAGCUUAACACUGCAAAAAAAGAAUUAAGUAGACUGAAGAAGUCACCAAGCAAAGUGCUGGCUGAUUCUGAUGAUGAUGACGACGAUGACGAUGAUUUCAGCACGGAUGGUGAUAGUCUCUGUGAAGUACCUUCAGGAAAUAAUUUCUCAAAAGAUGAUGACACAAAAAUCUAAAUAAGUAUGGAUGCAAUUCCUUGAAAGUACUGGAAGAAUAACAUAAAUUAUCAAGAAACUGGAUAUUCUAGAAGCCAAAUGACAUAAAGGGAUUUAAGAGUUGGAAAUACAAUGUUUCCAUCUAUAUUGUGCCAUUUUCUUGUUUAGAUCUCCACUGUUUAAUAUAGAAAACAGGAUUGCGUUAUAAAACACCUAUAAAACUAUAUAUAUAUCUAUAAACUGCUACUGGAAAUGUGAGAAUAACAUUUCACAUUGGAAAUGGGAUUUUGCUAAAAUUCUGUUCAAGUAAAAAGCCAUUUGAUAUUAAUUAAAAAUUAGUUUUUAGUUGUUAAAAGCUUUUCCCUAAAAUUAAGGAAACUAUAGAAGAUAAUUUAAUAAUUGUAAGUAAGGGGAAAUUGUGUAUAAAAUGUAAAUAUUUUAAAUUUUAUCUUUUUAUUGACUACUUUAGUACUAUUUUGUAAAGUUUCAAAUAUUAUAUAAAUCAGUUUGAUAUGUAAUAUCUUUAAGUUUAUAUUGAAUGCUUUGGGUUUUCACUAAGAGGAAAACAAAUGAAAAUGAAUACAUUUCAUGCAUUACAGAGCAGAUUCAUAGUUCCUGGGCAAGGAAGUACAUUUAAAUACCAGUGUAAGUUUUAUUGUAUGUGUUCUGUAUAUUAGAGGUCAAAUGUUAAUCCUGCCUGUUGACUUUAAAAGGACCAUCACAUCUGCAUGAUGAGAGAGACUUGGCUUCAACUUCCGUGUAAACUUAAUUUGGGAAGCUUUCUGUUCUUAGUAGGGAAGGGUGAGAAUGAUGUCAGUCAUUACUUGGUAUCUUUCAUUUCCUGAAAGGAAUGCAGUUCUGCCAGAGGCAGAAUGUUAUAGGCCUGCUGAUUUGAGGACAUUGGGACAGUCUUAUAUUGCAAGUUUCUAAAGAGUCCCACUUGUUCCAGUAAAAUUACUUGUGGUCUUUGACUUUAAGUACAUGCCGUUUAUUGAUACGAAAAUUUUAUGCUGCUGGCAAGAAAUUGCACCAAGGAAACGGAAAGCAUGUUAUCUGAUUUUUCUUUCUAAGUUCUUCUUGACCAUCUACUAGUGAUAUAUUGCAGUGCAUGGUCAUAUCUGCAGAUACAUAUUGGUAUUUCAGUUUACAGAAGUAUCUGUAUUUUGGGUUAUCCAUCUAUUCAACAAACUUUUUGGGAAAUGUAAAAGAAAGAGCAUUGAAGAUUUUAUUUUUAAAACAUUUUCUAUUUCGUUGCUAAAAUUAUUUUUUGCCAUUUGUAUUACACCAGACUGGUUUUGCUCCUUUGCAAAUCUAGAAUUCUAAGGAAAGGGCAUUACUACAAAACUUUGUUAAUAAACCAUAGUUAGGUCCUGUCUAUUUAUCAGUAUUUGUUCUCAGUUACAGGUUAAUGAGCACUUGUUCAUUGAUUUGAUGAAGUAAUCAUGGAAUUGUAAAAAAUAUUUUGAACUGAAGUUGCUGGGAACUUCCAUUAUUCCCACAAAGGAAUCUGCUGCAGAGGACAAAUUUAACAGCUCUGACAGUGAGGCUGGCAGAUGUGGUUAAGGCAAAAGUCCCGACAAUGGCAGUAUCCAUUUUCAUACAGUUGCAUGAAAUGAAACUCCUGCCUGCGAGGUCAGAAAUAUAUUCCUGCAUAGCAGAUCACAAACUCUUUGCCAUGUAAUUCCCUUCAACUUGCUUUUGAUCAUUUGAGUUAUACAGGAAAUAACAGGAAUGCCAAAGUUGUCUCUGAAUCUUGUAUCUUUACCAGUAGCAUGCACAUGGAACAUCUUGCAGUAUUGGCAUUGCUAUUUUGACAUCACAGGAACAGCCUUUCAUCCAAGAAGACCUGUGCUACACUGUACUGACAAUCAUCAUAGAAACUGCUGUGAUUUAUUUGUUGUUUCAUUUGCAUGUUUAUGUAGACUUAACUUCAAGCAACUGAUUCCAAUCCCCAGUACUCUAUCCUGUAAUGUUCAUAGAUUACUUAUUUCAAACCACUGGAAAAAAAUCACUUAAUAUUUCAUCUACCUCCAGUUACACUAAACUGUAAAAGAAAAAUUCACUUAAAAUAAACAGUCAGUGCUCUCAGUUC